Molecule: ribosomal RNA, 1086 nt
Filed under: uncultured Chitinivibrionia bacterium
Lineage: Bacteria; Pseudomonadati; Fibrobacterota; Chitinivibrionia
Description: bacterial SSU rRNA
Rfam family: Bacterial small subunit ribosomal RNA
Source: RNAcentral
GGGGAUAAUACCGGAUGUGGUCUCGAAAUCGCAUGGUUUUGAGAUUAAAGGUGACCUCUACUUGUAAGUUAUUGUUUGAGGAGGGGCUUGCGGACCAUUAGCUUGUUGGUGAGGUAACGGCUCACCAAGGCUGUGAUGGUUAGCCGACCUGAGAGGGUGAUCGGCCACAUUGGGACUGAGAUACGGCCCAGACUCCUACGGGAGGCAGCAGUAGGGAAUUUUGCGCAAUGGACGAAAGUCUGACGCAGCGACGCCGCGUGAGCGAUGAAGGUCUUCGGAUCGUAAAGCUCUGUUGAGUGGGAAGAAAAAUUCUAUGGCUAAUAUCCAUAGGACAUGACGGUACCAUUCGAGGAAGCCCCGGCUAACUACGUGCCAGCAGCCGCGGUAAUACGUAGGGGGCAAGCGUUGUUCGGAAUCACUGGGCGUAAAGGGAGUGUAGGCGGGAGGGUAAGUUAGAAGUUAAAUGUACGGGCUCAACCCGUAACCUGCUUUUAAUACUGCUUUUCUUGAGUAUGGGAGAGGGAAACGGAAUUCCAGGUGUAGCGGUGGAAUGCGUAGAUAUCUGGAAGAACACCAGUUGCGAAGGCGGUUUCCUGGCCCAAUACUGACGCUGAGGCUCGAAAGCUAGGGGAGCGAACAGGAUUAGAUACCCUGGUAGUCCUAGCCGUAAACGAUGGACACUAGUUGCUGGAGAAGUCAAUCUCUUCAGUGACGUAGCUAACGCGUUAAGUGUCCCGCCUGGGGAGUACGCUCGCAAGGGUGAAACUCAAAGGAAUUGACGGGGGCCCGCACAAGCGGUGGAGCAUGUGCUUUAAUUCGAUGCAACGCGAAGAACCUUACCUGGGUUUGACAUGGGAGUGAAAGUUUCCAGAGAUGGGAUCCCUUCCGCAAGGAACACUCUACACAGGUGCUGCAUGGUUGUCGUCAGCUCGUGUCGUGAGAUGUUGGGUUAAGUCCCGCAACGAGCGCAACCCCUGUCCUUAGUUGCCAGCGAGUAAUGUCGGGAACUCUAAGGAGACUGCCUGGUGUAACCAGGAGGAAGGUGGGGAUGACGUCAAAUCCUCAUGGCCCUUACGCCCAGGGCUA